UAUAACAGUGCCACUCUCAGGAAUUACUAAGUGACAUUUUAAAUUGAUAUUUUAAACUCUUUCCAACUACAUAGUUAUGGUUUAUUUCAUUCUCAUCCUGUUGGGAUGAGAACUUGUUUGUGCCUUUCAUAACUUGUUUAAAGCAGAGUUUUAAAAUUAGUUUAUAGGAUCUGAGGUGGCUAUUAGUUACAGUGGCAAGAUUAUUUAGAAAGCAAGAUUUUGAUGAGAAUUAAAAACAAUAGAAAAUGUAGAGUGCUUAAACAAAAAUGUUAUAUUUUGAAAGAGUAGAUACUUAAUUUAUAAAUAACAGUCUGAAGGUUGGUGCUAUUUUGGGAUAAUUGUUUUGCUAAUGGAUAAUUCUAACAAUGCAGAAUACCUAGUCAAGACUGUCAUCAAAAACAUUCACAAAUGUUUCAUUCUAUUUUUAGUGACUCUGUUUAAAGAGUUUCUGAAAGGAAAGAAAUUUUUUAUUUUUAUUAUCUUUAGCAGUACUGAGUGUCAUAGCAGAAUAUUUUACAGACUUUCUAUGAGAUUAUUUUUAUGGUACAAAGUAUUUACAUUUCCCUCAUGUUUAUCAUUAUGCCAAUUUUACAUGGCAGUCAUGCCACUGACUCUGCUAUUUAGCUAAGUAAUUUCUUUUUUCGGAGACUGUCUCACUCUGUCUCCCAGGCUGGACUGCAGUGGUGCGAUUCUCCUGCCUCAGCCUCCCGAGUAGCGGGGAUUACAGGCACGCGCUGCCACGCCCCGCCAGUUUUCAUAUUUUUAGUAGAGACAGGGUUUUGCCGUGUUGGCCAGGCUGGUCUUGAACUCCUGACCUCAGGUGAUCCACCCACCUUGGCAUCCCAAAGUGCUGGGAUUACGAGCGUGAGUCACAGCACCCGGCUAAGUAAUUUCUAUUUAUUGUGCCAAAACAUGUCAAAAUCAUGACCUCUUUGAAUGGUAUAUUUGAGAGGAUGUUCAUUUCAUUGGUUAACCAUGGACUACUCUGUCCACGUAGUGAAAACAUGCACCAGUUUUUACCUAUUAUCAUGGUAGUAUCAUCUGCCAAAAUUUCAAGGCAUUCAUUUUAUUCUUUGAACAACUCUUCACCAUGGUGUGGACAUGAAUUUUCAUAUGUGUUACUUGACUAGAAGUAUAAAUGGUUUACUAUAGAUAUCCAAAAACCUUGAGAUUUGCUCAUAGGAAAUGAAUAUUGUGAUGAAUCCUGGGCUCUAGAGUCAGACUUGCUUGGGUUUAAAUUCUUGCUCUAACACUUACUGUUUUUGUAACCUUGAGCAAUUUUAAUCUCUCUGUGUCUCAAUUUCCUCAUCUUUUAAUUAGGGAUGAUAAUACUACCUACCUCACAGGAUUUUUAUGAGGAUUAAAUAAAUGUAAGGUUUUUAGAACAUUGAUAGGGAGCAAUAAAUAGAAGAUUGUAUUAUUAUUCUGUUACCUUGGAGUGUAAGUACUGCAUUUAAGUGAAUGAAAAAUUUGCUUUGACCAGAUACUGAAGGAAAUAAGUAAUAGCUAGUAUUUAUCCAAUGCCAACUGUAUGCUAGGUACUGUGCUUAGAUAAUCUGUGUAUAAUAGUGUUAAUCCUCAAAAUUUGGGUGUUAUACCCCUAUUAUAGAUAAGGAAACUGAGGCUCAGAGACAAAGUAACUUUGUCACUGUCACAAAGCUAGUAAGUAACAGAGGUAGGAUUUAUAUUCAAAACCCUGUGUGUUCAUUGGAACCGUAUCAGGCUUGGGGCUAUUCAUGUAGCAUUAUUUCCAUUUUUAUGUAUAUGAUAUAUGACGUCUGAUGCAUUGGCCAGUAAUAGUCAAAUUAACCCAGCCAAAUUGUCACAGUGAUUCUUAAACUGUGGUUCUCACACUUGCCCAGGAUGUUGUUAAAUGCAGAUCUGAAGACCCCAAUCUCAGAAAUUCAAAUUUAAGCAUGGGGCCCAAGAGUAUGCAUUCUUACCAGAUACCUUGGGCAGUGACUGUCAAAAGUCUGGUCCCAACAAACAGCAUUAACGUCACCUGGGAACUUGUUGGAAAUGCAGCCUCUCUCGGGGCCUCAUCUCAGAUCAGAUCUACUAAAUCAGAUACUCUAGGGGCAGGGGCAGGGGCAGGGGCUAGCAGUUGUGUUUAAGCAAACUCUGCAGGUGUCUUUCUUAUCCUAGUUUGAGAACCAAUACCCAACAACCUACGUGAUUUUGGUGCAAGUAGUGUUUGAAACACACUGAAGAUUACUGCCCAAUUACUAAGACAUUUUUCAAAAAGCAUGUUUUAAAUCAGUGUAGUCCAGGAUCACACUAUAUUAAAUAUAAAGAUAACUUAAAGGAUCAUUGGAUCAUUCAUUUUGGCCAAAUUUUUAGCUUCUCCAAAGUGACUAACAUCAGGGCCUACAAUAAAAUCUGUAAUUCUCCAAGUUUAGUAAUUUUAUAUUGAGGCAGGAAGGGCUCAUUAAGUACUAAUAAGUACAUAAUUUAUUAAAAACAUACAUAAGUGUCAUCAAAAAGGUCCACAAUUGUUAGUAAAAAAAAUUAAAUUGAAGUAGUAAAUGCUGUUUUAUAACAUACAUUUUUCUGCUAAUUCAUUCUGUUUUGUGUGACCUAAUAAAGCAAAAGAAAAAUAAAAAAGCAAUUCUCCAAGUACUUCAUAGAGCACAUAAAACCAGAUUUCAUGAUGAUGAUGUAUUCACUAUCUUUUAGAUUAAGAUCUUUGUUAUUUGGUAAAUGAUUUCAGUAUGGUUUUAAAACAUAAGGCUUUUGAUGUCUUAUGUUCUCUAAUAAUGGUAUGCUUGUAUUUUCUAGUGGGAAGUUCAUAGAUAAAGCAGAUUUUUGUCCCAGUUUGCUUUCAAAUAUAAAUUUCAGAGGGCUUUUUCUUACUGUAAUGAGGUAUGAAAAUAAAUCAUUGAUCAGCUCUUAAUAUUUUUUGAAUACAGAAUUGGAUUUGAGCAGUAAAUUUGCUAACUGGUUAUUUUCACAAUUUUCUUGAAUAUUAAUUUUUCACUUCUUUGAGACUGUCAAACUAUAGUUACUACCAGGUUGAUGCACUGUACUUGAAAGAAUCCCUUGAUUAAAUUACAUCUAGCAUUUUAUUUGCCAUUUCAAUUUUCAGUUCAUUAGACUAUAAUUCUUUGACAGUUUCUGCCUGGUGUUUAUUGCCCUUCUUUGUUUGCUUUAUUACUAACUUCCAUUUUCUAGUUACUCUUAAAUGCUGCCUUCACAAGGUUAAUUUGGCUGUUAAUAGUGAUUAGAAUUUUUAUCACUUAAUUGAUAAUUUUAAGCCUACUAACUAGGGUUCCCUAUGAAAUUGAAAGUAAAAGUCUAAGAAUAAUGCCUGCUGGCUCUCGAGAUACUUGCCCUACUUAAAAAUCUAUAAUUUAAAAUUAAUUCUAUGUCUACAAUUAUUAAAGGAAGUAAAGUUAUUUGGGUUCUUCCACUCACCCUUUUCUCAAAAACAACAACAAAAAACAAAACUCAUUUUAUUUUUCUACUUUAUAGUAGGCCUGACAGAAACAUAGUGAAGCAAUCUGGGAGGCAACCUGUGGUAGAUUUUAUGCUAAAUGUUAAUGUAACCUCUGUUGAUUUUUUAAAAAUGUGUUUAUAUAUAAGAUUUGAAAUAAAAACUUUAAUACAGGCUAGAAUAAGGAAUUUUACAAAUUCUCUUUAGAGCAACCAACAUUAAAGUUUUAGAGUUGAAUUUUGCUCUAUUUCAACUCCCUUACCUCUCUAGUUUUCAGUUUAUAUUAAGUUUUAAUAACUUUGCGGGGCCCUGCAAAUUAAUAAUCUACAUGAAGUAUAUUAUUAGAGGGAAACUAAUCUUACUGCUAAGCAGUGUGUUGUACUACAUAGUGAAUGUUCGUGUUUUGGAAUUUAAAAAUUAUUUAAGGUAAUGGUGUUACGAAUGGUUUAAAAAUGUCUGGUGACUUGCUUAUUUUUAAGUGAUCACCAUUAAGUCAGAAAAAUGUAUUUUUAAAUGUUUCUUGAAGUGCCUUUUGAACAUUUUUAAACAGCGGAU
Molecule: long non-coding RNA, 3988 nt
Filed under: Homo sapiens (human)
Lineage: Eukaryota; Metazoa; Chordata; Mammalia; Primates; Hominidae
Description: non-protein coding lnc-MIOS-5:2
Source: RNAcentral